GCAACUUUUCCAAUCUAUGCCACCAUUGCAGAGAGCCCACUUGCUACAGCAGCAGCAGCAGCAGCAGCAAGUGGGAUACAGCUGAAAAGUUUUGGCAUACUUGUGCUUUCAUCUUUGUCUUUUUAGCGGUGGGAUGGUGGAGGGGUGCUAGUUCCAUCUCCUAUGUGCUUUCAGGGUAGACCAAUUCAGGCUGUGUUGUUUCUUUGCUAAUA
This 212-nucleotide unclassified non-coding RNA is filed under the name Hevea brasiliensis (rubber tree). The record is from RNAcentral. Lineage: Eukaryota; Viridiplantae; Streptophyta; Magnoliopsida; Malpighiales; Euphorbiaceae.